GAGCUAGACUCCGUCUCAAAAAAAAAAAAAAAAAAGAAAAUUUUGUUUUGCUUUUUGUAGACUAUGGAUAUGCAUAUGCAUAUCCUAACUGGGAAUUCUAAAGUGGAAAGGAAAAUACUAUGACAAAACUUCAUACUGUCCCAUUGUCUGAUAGCUCUGAGAUCAUACUUUUAAAGCUUACAGGACUUUAAAAUACGAACGUCAAAGUGAAACAACUGAUGUACCUGCAAAACUAGCACCUAGCUGGACCCUUUCUGGGUGCGUGCAGUGUCAGCUCUUUUUAUGUUGUGUUUUAAGUUUUUUAUCCUGGUAUUGCAUUAAUCGUGAUCCAAUGGUUUCCUUUUAUUCUUCGUCUCAAUUUUUUUUUUGUCCUUAAGGCUACUGUGGACUUUUUAGCAAUUUGUUGUAGUUGUUGACUAUCGGCAUAUUCACCAACAGAAGUGAAACUCUUCAUAUGACAAUUAUAAAUUAAAGUGACUAAGGAGUUGAAAUUAGAACAGAAUGCAAUGUGCAGAUUAGCUCUGGCUUUUUCCUAGUAUCCCAUUAGAAUGUUAGAAGUUAUAAUGAUUACAUAUUUCAUCAUCACAUAUCUUUCGAAAUGAAGAGUAGAAUCUUAAAUGACUCUGGACUGUAGUACAGAAGCAAGGUGCCAUUUGUUUUCUUCAGUACUGGUGCUAAAUUUACCAAGAUUUACCAUCUUGCUUAGUGAACACUAGGUGGUGCUCUUGGUAAGCCAAACUUCUGGCUGAGCCAAGCCAAGUGGAUAAAAGAAACUUGCGACAACUGGAACACUAAUUACCAGUUGAUUCAUAGAUAGGAAAGAACAAGUUAUGAUCUCAAGUUCUGUGAGGGGACACGGCAGGCCAAGAAUGUGUGCUUGUUCAAACAAGGACUGAUCUACAGAACACUUUAGUCUCCCUAAACCUGUUUUCAAGCAUUUCACCUUUCACUCUAAACAUGUAACAUAGUAGUCUCCUGCAAGAAAGAAACUGGUACCCAGACAGGGCAAAACAAGAUCAUGCUCAACCGGCUAUCUAUCUUCUAGACAAGGCAAGACCUGUACUUUUGUACUGUUUCUUAUAGUACUCUAAACUAUGUCUUUUUGCCUCUACCUGAGAGGUCUGAAAGAGCCAACAGGCAGCUUUUGGAUUCUUGGUGUUAAGUGAAUGUUAGGGCUGGGUAUUCUCAUGUUCCAUGGUUAUACACCUUUGCAAAAAAAAACACCUGAACACUGACUCUUCUCUAUACUUCUGAAGAAUCAAAGUUAUAGGUAUAUUUUCAAGCUAGAAUACUCUUGAGACCUAAAUCAUUUCCAGGUUGUAAGCAUUCCUGGUAAACUAAAUAUAUGAUAACCUGGAUUUGCAUGAAAACUGGGAGGGUAUUUUUUUUUUUAAACAAAAGAUUUCUCAUAGUACUCAUAUAUGUAUUUGUACGCCUUUAAAAUAAUUCAGUAGGUAAAUAUUGGCUGGGCACGGUGGCUCACACCUGUAAUCCCAGGUCUUUGGAAGGCCGAGGCGGGUGGGUCCCUUGAGGCCAGGAGUUUGAGACCAGCCUGGGCAACAUGGUGAAACUCCGUUUCUACUAAAAAUACAAAAAUUAGCCGGGCGUGGUGGUGGGCGCCUGUAAUCCCAGGUACUCGGGUGGCUGAGGCACGAGAAUUGUUUGAACCUACGAGGUGGAGGUUGCAGUGAGCCGAGAUCGCGUCACUGCACUCCAGCCUGGGCGACAGAGCAAGACCCUGUCUCCAAAAAAUAAAUAAAUAAAUUAUAUAUAUAUAUAUAUAUAUAUAUAUAUAUAUAUAUAUAUAUAUAUAUAUAUAUAAAAUUUGUGUGUAUACAUAUGCAUACCUACACACGUCUAAGUGGCUUUAUUUUUAUAUGGACCCACAUAAGUUUGUUGUUAACACCAAACAGCCACCUUCAUGGGAUCCAUGUGCAGAGGCUGGAGCCCAGCUUCUCCACAUGACGUGAGUCACCCGAAUUGUUGGGUUUGUAGAUUGGUCUCACUGAUGUACGGGAUUUCAUUGUGCAACUAUACCACAAGGGAGCACGUGUGUGUGUCAUACUUUCUAACCCUUCGUAACUGUUCUGUUCUUGGCUGCUUCCCUACCUUUUUUGCAAUGCCCUUCAUUAUAUUUCCACUUGGUCACCUUGUAGCUUAAAUUAAUUCAUCUUUUUCAAUUUCUUUGCUGAGUUACUUCAACUUUUCUCAGCUUCCUCUGUUUUUUCCCCCCCUUUGGUCCAUUUUUGUUUUGAGAUUUAAAUUUCUAAUUUCACGUUAAUUUUUAUUUCUGCAAAGGCCUAUUUAAUUCAUACUAGAUAUUGGUAGUUUUCUUCUGCCUGUGGUUGAGAAUUUUCAUCAGCUGUAAUUGAUUCUCAUUUUUUCUUCUAGUAGUUUUUAUGGAUGUUAUCUUCCUUUUUCUGCUCAUAUUAAAAGGUUUUAUUUUCCUUGUCUUGCAAAACCAGUUGGUUCUCUGCAGGCAGGGACAAGGGGUUUGUGUGGCCGAGUUCCUUGAUUCAGGAAUGUUCUGUUGAUAGAGUUAAAUGGUACCAGUUAAGUGCUGGCAGUACAUGUGCGAGCCACCAUACCUGGUCUGUCUUUUCCUUUCUACUGCCACUCUAGGACCCUGCUGCCCCACGUCUUUACCCUCUAGUUUCCACCUGACUCUCAGCCCUCACGAGGGUUCUGACGCUGGCUCUAGUGUCAGAUGUGCUUUUCUCUGCCUCCACGUAAAUUGAAGUUUUUUGGCCAAGCGUGGUGGCUCAAUCCUGUAAUCCUAGCAACUUUGGGAGACUGAGGGGGACAGGAUCGUUUAAGCCCAGGAGUUCAAGACCAGCCUGGGCAACAUAGGGAGACCUCGUCUCUACACAAAGUAAAAAAAAUUACCCAGGCAUGGUGACAGGUGCCUGUAGUCCCAGCUACUCGGGAGGCUGAGGUGGGAAGAUCGCCUGAGCCUGGGAAGUCGAGGCUGCAGUGAGUCCCGAUCAUGCCACUGCACUCCAGCCUGGGUGGCAGAGCAAGACCUUGUCUCAAAAAAAAAAAAAAAAAAAAAAGACAAAGUUGGAUUUUUUUUCUGUCUCAUAGAUAUGCUGCAGGCACAGAUUAUGGUGACUGCUGUCUUUUGUCUUUAUGGUUUUUGGAAGACUACGAUAGAGCUUUAGAUUUAGGAAGCAGCCAAUAUUCCUUGGAAAACCAGAAACUCAAGUACCUUCCUCUUAAAUGUAAACACACAAGCAAGAGGUACCAGACAUUUAAGGAAAACUUCUAGCAUGAAAGAAAAAAAAUUGAAACAGAAAAAAGUUAAAUACUGUAUCAAUUAAGAGAUUAUUACAUAUAUUUUCUUAAAUUCGAGAACAAAAAAGAGCUCCUGAAAUUUAGGAACCUGACAACAGACACCAUAUACUCACCAGAAGAAUGGGAAAACAGAUGUCCCCAGUCAAGACAGAUACACAGUAACUAGAGAAGAAAAUAGGUUCAAACCAGUAGAGGUCCUGCCUGGACAAAGGAGUGCCAGAAAGAGAGAACAGAGAAUGGAUGGAGAAAAUUUAAAUGUCCCAAAAUGGUGGGGUGAUUUUACAGUCUGCAUUCCUAGCACAGAGGUUGACAAGUGGCACACAUUAAAGCACACUAUAAAACUAUGGCGCCCUGGGGAUAAGAAUAUUCUAUGAGCUUCCACAAAGAAAAAGAUUACAUAUAAAGAAUCAGAAAUAAGAAUGGCUUCAGAUUUCUCAGUAUCUACACACUGGAACCUAGAACCAGUGAGGCAAUGCUUUCAAAAUUCUGGAACAUGAUUUCCAAAGUUACCAAUGAAAUGUGGUGGUAAAACAAAGAUAUUGGUCUCAGAAAAUUUACCAUCCAUACAUUUCUACAGGAAGUAUUAGAGGGCAUGCUCCAUUCAGUAAACCAAGAAAGAUGAAGACAUGGGAUCCAGGAAACAGGAGAGCUGACCGAAGAGUGGUGAAGGAAAUCUCUAGAACACAGGUGAAGGGAGACCCAAGAAAGACAGCUGUGCCCCAGGCGUUAAGAGCAACCAGUCCAGAUUGGUGCAAGUUAGAAGCCACAGGGAACAAACGAAAAAUCAAGACAUUAAGGGAAAAAGAUUUCUUACAAUCUCCAGCUACAACCUGCUUAGCUUGCUACUCAGUACGUGAAUUAGGAUGCAGGCAACACACCUCAGAAGGCAGGAAGAAAAAAGGCACAGCUGAUAAUCAAGUCGUUAGAGUCAACCAUCAUUACUAAAGCCAACUCUCCACCCAGCGCAUCUAAGCCUGUGCCUCUUCUUGCCACCCUAGCAUCUCCUAAGCCAGAUACAGCAAAUGAAUGCCGGAAGCUCACUAUCAGAAUGUUCCAAGACCUUUCCAUAAUAAAAAAUAAGUAUUUUUUUUUAA
This is a long non-coding RNA of Homo sapiens (human), 4388 nucleotides long. RefSeq lists it as uncharacterized. The transcript is spliced from 2 exons. The record is from RefSeq and is a predicted model, not a curated record. Lineage: Eukaryota; Metazoa; Chordata; Mammalia; Primates; Hominidae.